GACGAACGCUGGCGGCGUGCUUAACACAUGCAAGUCGAACGAUGUCCCUGGAGCUUGCUCCGGUGGAUUAGUGGCGAACGGGUGAGUAACACGUGAGUAACCUGCCCUUGACUCUGGGAUAACUGCGGGAAACUGUAGCUAAUACCGGAUACGACCCUCGGCGGCAUCGCCAGGGGGUGGAAAGAAUUUCGGUCAAGGAUGGACUCGCGGCCUAUCAGCUAGUUGGGGAGGUAACGGCUCACCAAGGCGACGACGGGUAGCCGGCCGGAGAGGGAGACCGGCCACACUGGGACUGAGACACGGCACAGACUCCUACGGGAGGCAGCAGUGGAGAAUAUUGCACAAUGGGCGUAAGCCUGAUGCAGCAACGCCGCGUGAGGGAUGACGGCCUUCGGGUUGUAAACCUCUUUUAGUAGGGAAGAAGCGAAAGUGACGGUACCUGCAGAAAAAGCACCGGCUAACUACGUGCCAGCCGCCGCCGUAA
Molecule: ribosomal RNA, 484 nt
Filed under: uncultured bacterium
Lineage: Bacteria
Description: partial 16S ribosomal RNA
Rfam family: Bacterial small subunit ribosomal RNA
Source: RNAcentral